GCGGCGGUGCAUGGUGAGAAGGCGGUGGCGGUGAAUGAUGAGUAGGCGGUGUUGGAAAAUGAGGCGGCGGUGCGUGGUGAGCUGGUGGUGGUGGUGCAUGGUGAUGAGCGGGAGGUGAAAAAUGAGGCGGUGGCGUGCGAUGAUGAGGGGGUGGAGGGUGGUGAGCAGGGGAAGGGUUUGGCGGAGCUCCAUGGUCAUGGUGGUGGCGGUGGCCAUGAUGACCAUGGUGCUUGUGGUGAGGUGAGCCGUGGUACGACGGUGGUUCCACCGGCGCCAACCCAUGGUGGUGAGGCUUCCCAUGCUUGGAUCCAAGGUGCGCCGUCACUGGCGUCUCGGCAUAGGGUGCCAGAGCCGGUGCUUCUGCCGACGGGAAGGCAUGGUGAGGCGAUGAGGCGCCGCAGUACGAUGCGAGCACAGCCGCAAGAGCAACGAGGAGGGCGAUGCCCUUCAUGCUUGUGGUGCCUAUGUGUUUGGUCCCUUCACUGGUUGGUUUGAUUGCCUCUCGAUCUCUUCCAUCUGGCGCCUUAUAUAGUGGCCGUUUGAAUCUUCAGUUUGAUGUUACCAAACCCAUUAUCUUGGGUUGGGAGCUGCUGGACAUCUGGGAGAAUGUGCGAGCGCCGACUGGGCCGUGCUGCGCGGGGCCGCAAAUCCCGGUCUGUUGGACUUCGAAGCAGCGCGAAUGACUUGCAUUGGCAGUCUGAUGGGCUUUGCACCUCAAGAGACACACGCAACGAUCGGUCCUUGUUGGGCGGCCGCAUGGUGUGCGUGGACCAAACUACAUCGAGCUAGUGGGCUUCAACUUCACUACUUCAGUGGUCUCCGGAACGAAGAAUUUUGUCGACGUAGGGCCCUUUGUAGGGCUUGAGGGGCUUCGGCUUCCUUACAGCAGCGCAUCGUGUAGCAGGUGCCGGAGCUGAAGUCGAAGCCGGGCAAGUCAUUUUUUUCAUUUCACCUCUUUCCAGUUUAUUUUUUUUGCCUCGAUUCGCGUACCGACUUCACAUUAGGGCAUGUACAACAGUGAGACAGCUGCUGUCUCUAAGUUCUUGGAAUUUACUACAUAGACGGCUAAAUAGACAGCUCGUACAACCCACAGAUAGUUGCUAUCUGUUUUGGCUGUCAACAAAUCAUUAAAUGUUUGCAUGCAACCAUGAUUUGGCGCGCGCACAGCAGGAUCCGCACGGUGUCGACGAGGAGGCGACGCUCCGUACAACGCGCAGCCAGCCGUCUUCUUCGCCUGGGAGCACGAGCGCUUGCCGUCGUCUCCCCACGCGACGGCUUCCCUCUCUCUCUUCAGUUACUGCAGUGAAGCGAGGGGGAUUUUGCAAAACUUCCGUCGUGAGACGACGGCUGCCACGACCGUUGUACGUGCCCUUACAGUACCAAAACAUUGUACCACGAAGCUGAAGUCGAGGGAGGCAAAACCCUACGGGGGCCGUAGGGAGACCGGCAGGCUGAAGAAUUCCAUCGUCGGCACUACGGCAGGAACCAACUCUUUUGGGUGGAUGCAUGGACUAGAAUUUGGCGGCCGUUCCCUUUCUAUCACUACUGUGCAUUUGACUUGUGCCGCCGUGUCGUUUUCUGGCACGUUUAGCUUACUUCGGACUGCCGGAUUUACACCAUCAGAAUUCAGAAGCACGCUGGCCCUGACAUUCCUAUCCCUACUGUGGCGGCGGAUCCUGAAUUUCCGAACUGCAGGUUCCUGAUAGUGCUGCAUCUUAUCCGGGGGAAGCACAUCCCGGUACUGAUGGCAGACAGCAUGGUUUGGAACUUUGAGACAAGAUGCAGGAUGAUGCUCGUCAACUCUGCAGGGCUGUGGCCCGUGGCUGAGGUGAGUUUCUGUACCGAGAUCAAAGUUUUUUUUCCCCACCAUUCCCGCGUUACUGUUCAGGGUAAAAGGACAGUUCAGUCCCUUUUACACUUAAAAUUUGUGGUAGCGGCCAGUCAUGCUCGAAGCCAUGUGAGGAGCACGCGAUGGCUAGUGAAUGUUAGGCGAAGCUAGACAGUAGAGCAGACCGUUCCGGCAUGAACGGCACUGCCCGCUGGCAGCAAGGUCAACCGAAAAGGCAUGUAUGCUACGUAGUGGUUUAGGUGGAUCAGAUCCGGACUCACGACGGUGGAGAUCUGAAGCUCCUUUCCCCCCAAAUAUCCAUGAGGACGUGUCGAUCACCCGAUCCAUUGCAUUGCCCAUUGUCGAUCUCCCGACUUGCCGCCUUGCACAGAAAUAACACCGAAUCAGUUUCUGGUCCAUGUGCACAAAACCACCGCCCACGUUUGCUCGAUGGAUCGUGUAG
This is a long non-coding RNA of Setaria italica (foxtail millet), 2291 nucleotides long. RefSeq lists it as uncharacterized. The record is from RefSeq and is a predicted model, not a curated record. NCBI's taxonomy places the organism in Eukaryota, Viridiplantae, Streptophyta, Magnoliopsida, Poales, Poaceae. The transcript has 3 exons.